Molecule: ribosomal RNA, 497 nt
Filed under: uncultured bacterium
Lineage: Bacteria
Description: partial 16S ribosomal RNA
Rfam family: Bacterial small subunit ribosomal RNA
Source: RNAcentral
GAUGAACGCUGGCGGCGUGCCUAAUACAUGCAAGUCGAGCGAACGGACGAGAAGCUUGCUUCUCUGAUGUUAGCGGCGGACGGGUGAGUAACACGUGGAUAACCUACCUAUAAGACUGGGAUAACUUCGGGAAACCGGAGCUAAUACCGGAUGAUAUUUUGAACCGCAUGGUUCAAAAGUGAAAGACGGUCUUGCUGUCACUUAUAGAUGGAUCCGCGCUGCAUUAGCUAGUUGGUAAGGUAACGGCUUACCAAGGCAACGAUGCAUAGCCGACCUGAGAGGGGGAUCGGCCACACUGGAACAGAGACAGGGUCCAGACCCCUCCGGGAGGCAGCAGGAGGAAUUCUUCCGCAAGGGGCGAAAGCCUAACGGAGCAACGCCGCGGGAGUAAUAAAGGUCUUCGGAUCUUAAAACUUUUUUAUGAGGGAAAAAAAUUUGUGUAAGUAACUGUGCACAUCUGGACGGUCCCUAAUCAGAAAGCCACGGCAAACAACGGC